AGCCUGAACGCUGGCGGCGUGGCUAAGACAUGCAAGUCGCACGGAGGUAGCAAUACUUUAGUGGCGAACGGGUGAGUAAUGUAUCGCUAACGUACCCUUUAGUCAGGGAUAGCCGGGGGAAACUCCGGGUAAUACCCGUUGACAUUCUUUUUCCGCAUGGAGAGAGACUCAAAGGAGCAAUCCGCUGAAGGAGCGGGCGAUAUCGUAUCAGCUAGUUGGUGAGGUAACGGCUCACCAAGGCGACGACGCGUAGCCGGACUGAGAGGUCGGUCGGCCACAUUGGGACUGAGACACUGCCCAGACUCCUACGGGGGCUGCAGUAACGAAUCUUCCGCAAUGCACGCAAGUGUGACGGAGCGACGCCGCGUGUGGGACGAAGUCCUUCGGGAUGUAAACCACUGUCAGGGGUUACCAAGUUCUGAGGAGCCCCAGAGGAAGGCACGGCUAACUCUGUGCCAGCAGCCGCGGUAA
This 471-nucleotide ribosomal RNA is filed under the name uncultured bacterium. RNAcentral's name for it is "SSU rRNA". It matches the Rfam family "Bacterial small subunit ribosomal RNA", at positions 26 to 523 of the family's 1533-position model. The record is from RNAcentral.